GAUGAAGAACGUAGCGAAAUGCGAUACUUGGUGUGAAUUGCAGAAUCCCGUGAACCAUCGAGUCUUUGAACGCAAGUUGCGCCCGAAGCCAUUAGGCCGAGGGCACGCCUGCCUGGGCGUCACACGUCGUUGCCCCCCCAUCUACUCCUUCGGGAUUGCGGGGGGCGGAUGAUGGCCUCCCGUGCGCCACGCCGCGCGGUUGGCAUAAAUGCCAAGUCCUCGGCGACGCACGCCACGACAAUCGGUGGUUGCGAAACCUCGGUUGCCCGUCGUGUGCGGUCGUCGCGCAUCGAGGGCUCGAAAAAAUUGCCGGGUUCCGGCUCGGCUUUCAACGCGACCCCAGGUCAGGCGGGGUUACCCGCUGAAUUUAAGCAUAUCAAUAAGCGGAGA
This 390-nucleotide unclassified non-coding RNA is filed under the name soil metagenome. RNAcentral's name for it is "partial contains 5.8S ribosomal RNA, internal transcribed spacer 2, and large subunit ribosomal RNA". The stretch from base 1 to 122 matches the Rfam family "5.8S ribosomal RNA", at positions 35 to 154 of the family's 154-position model. The record is from RNAcentral.